UACGUAGGGGGCUAGCGUUAUCCGGAAUUACUGGGCGUAAAGGGUGCGUAGGCGGUCUUUCAAGCCAGAAGUGAAAGGCUACGGCUCAACCGUAGUAAGCUUUUGAAACUGGGAAACUUGAGUGCAGGAGAGGAGAGUGGAAUUCCCAGUGUAGCGGUGAAAUGCGUAGAGAUUGGGAGGAACACCAGUGGCGAAGGCGACUUACUGGGCCGUAACUGACGUUGAUGCGCGAAAGCGUGGGGAGCGAACAGGAUUAGAUACCCUGGUAGUCCCUGAGCGGG
Molecule: ribosomal RNA, 281 nt
Filed under: uncultured prokaryote
Description: partial 16S ribosomal RNA
Rfam family: Bacterial small subunit ribosomal RNA
Source: RNAcentral